Numida meleagris (helmeted guineafowl) is the source of this 1624-nucleotide long non-coding RNA. The record is from Ensembl. Lineage: Eukaryota; Metazoa; Chordata; Aves; Galliformes; Numididae.
AUCCCGUCGAUCCUCUGAUUCCUGCCCCACCCCCGUGCCCUGCUGUCCCUCUGUCCCUUCUGCACUGGGCUGUUCUCUUCCUGGCUGCCUGUCUGUCUGUCCUUCCGCUGCUGUCCCAUCCCACAUCUUAAUCCGACCUCACCCAUUCAUCCUUCCACAAUUUGUCCCUCCACGACCAUUCCUAUCUCCUACUCCCUACCCAACCAUCUAUCCCCACCCAUCCCCACCCAUCUGUCCAUCUGUCCCCAUCCAUCUCUCCAUCCAUCCUCAUCCAUCUGUCUAUUCCUCCAUCCCCAUCCCUCCAUCCCUAUCCAUCCCUACCCAUCCCCAUCCAUCCAUUCAUCCGUCCAUCCAUCCCCACCAAUCCUGAUCCAUCCCUCCAUCCCCAUCCAUCCAUCCCUGUCCAUCUGUUCAUCCCCGUCCAUCUAUCCAUACCCAUCCCCACCUAUCCCCGUCCAUCCGUCCAUCCAUUCCCGUCCAUCCAUCCCCACCAAUCCCCAUCCAUCCAUCCCUGUCCAUCUGUCCAUCCCUCCAUCCCUAUCCAUACCCAUCCCCACCAAUUCCCAUCCAUCCGUCCAUCCAUUCCCGUCCAUCCAUCCCCACCAAUCCCCAUCCAUCCAUCCCCGUCCAUCUGUCCAUCCCUCCAUCCCCAUCCCACCAUCCAUCCCUACUCAUCCCCAUCCAUCUGCCCAUCCAUCCCCAUCCAUCCAUCUCUACCCAUCCACGCGUCCAUCUACCCAUCCCCACCCCACCCUGUCCCCCGGUCCCCACCUGUCCGUCUGUCUGUCCGUCCGUCUCUCUCUCUCUGCCCCGGUCUCUCUUUCACCCCCAGAUUUUACCGCUGUGGUUCCAGAGACGCCGCGCCUGGACAGCAGCUUGCAGAAGGCCCGCGCCCGGCUGCUAGCCAAGAGCCGCCGGCACCGGCCCUCGCGCUCCCGCCUGCGAGACAGCGCCAGCUCCACCGAGGGCGAGGAGGGGCUGGAGGCGGCGGAGGGGCUGGCGGGCACCCCCUCGCCCAAGUCCUGCCCCAGCUCCGACAGCUCGCCCGGCUUCGCCCGCCGCGAUGCGUGGCCCCAGCGGCACAGCGAAGAUGACAGCAGGGACAUGAGCCCCCCCGAGCCGGCCAGCCCCACGGUGGGGCUGGAUAAGAAGACCCGGAGAAAGUUCCUGGAUUUGGGGUGAGACCCAGAAUUGGGGAGGGAUGAAGGACGGAUGGUGGGGCAUGGUGGGAACGCGGAGGAGGGGUCUCCAUAGAGGUGGGGGGACGGAUGGAUGGACCUCUGAAGAUAGAUGGAUGUCUCUGAAAAUGGAUGGAAGGAGGAGGUCUGAAGAUGGAAGGAUGGAUGGGAGGGUCUCUGAAGGUGGGAGGAGGAAGAGAUGCAUGGGUAGAUGGGGGAGGGAAAAUGAAAAUGGAUGGGGAUGGAUGGAUGGGGAGGGUCUCUGUACAUGGAUGGGUGGAUGGAAGCAUCUGAAAAAGGAUGGAAGGAGGAGGUCUGAGGAUGGAGGAAUGGAUGGAUGGGUCUCUGAAGAUGGAUGGAGGGAAGUCUCCGAAAAUAGAAGGAAGGAGGAUGUCUGAAGAUAGAUGGAUGGAUGGAUGGAUGGAUGGAUGGAUGGAUGGAUGGGG